This is an RNA transcript of Vicugna pacos (alpaca), 3008 nucleotides long. It is a transcript of the gene named surfactant protein D, with no coding region annotated. Lineage: Eukaryota; Metazoa; Chordata; Mammalia; Artiodactyla; Camelidae. The record is from RefSeq and is a predicted model, not a curated record.
UAAUAGACAAGGGAAACGGUGAUGACGGUGACCCAGAACAGACUGGCCCUCUGGAAGUACAUCGCAUCUCCUGCUGCUUUCCCCAUCGCUGCAGCACUUCCUGGGUAGUGCCAGGCAGGCCCGCGCUGGGAGCUGGAGGAAGGUGUUAAAUCUGCAGUGAGGAAGUUACUGGAAAAGUAACUCAUGUUAGAAAAAAAGUUGUUGAAAAGGCAGAAUGGCUUGGGUCAAAGGACUAUUGGAAGGCUCAUUGCCAAGAAGAUCCUGAUUUAGGACUGUUUUGAAGCUGAGGCGGAAGGGCAGUCUCCGGGCGUUAUUCACAGACUCCUACUCUGGGCGAACUAGCAGAGGGUGACCGACCAGAGGACUCAGCUUUCGAAAAGAGUGACAUCAGCAUCCUGGUGGCAUAAAUCAUUUCCUUUUCCUCUCCUUUUUUAAAACAACUAAUUAGACAUCCAUAGCCAAACCAAACUGCCUCUGCACAUUGCACCAAGGGAUCCUGGAGGUUUCCAGUGCACCUGUGCAUCCAAAAAUAAACAAAACCUCAGAAAGGGCUGCAGAUCCAAAGAAGCUGUCAGAUCUGCCCUACUCCUGCUCAUCAGGCAGUUGGGGAAAAAAGAAUGUAACCUACAAAGGAAUCCCCUUUAGGCUAUCGGUGGAUUUCUUAGCAGAAAUUCUAGGUCAGGGGAGAGUGCGGUGACGUAUUGAAAAUGAACAUUUCUAGCCAAGAAUACUUUAUCUGGUAAAGUUAUCCUUCAGCUAUGAAGGAAGAAUAAAGGCUUUCCCAGGCAAAAGCUGAGGGAGUUCACCAGCACUAGACCUGCCUUGCAAGAAAUUCUGAAAGAAGUUCUGGAAGCUGAAAAAAAGAUACUAAUUAAUGACAUGGAAACAUAUGAAAGUACACAACACUCUGGUAAAGGUGAACUAUAGAUAGAAUUAAGAAAACUUAUUCUAUCUGAAAAUGGUGUCUUAAGUUAACUAUAGUAUAAAGGUUAAAGAAAAAAGUGUUAAUAACUACAGCUACUAUAAUUGUUAACAAAUAUACAGCAUAAAAAGAGGUAAAUUUUGACCUCAAAAGUAUAAAUGGGGAGGAGUAAAAGGGUGGAGACUUUAUAGACAAAUGAAGAUAAGUUGCUAUCAGCAUAAAAUGGGCUGUUAUCUAUGUUUUAUAUAAUCCUCUUGGUAACCAAAAGCAAAAAUUAAAGAACAGAUUCACAAAACACAGAAAACAAGGGAGGGCAGAGCAUACCACCGUAGAAAACCACCAAUGUACAAGUGUAGGCAGAAGCAGAUGGGAAAAGAAGCAAGAGAGAUAUGAAACAACCAGAAGAUAAAUAAGGUGGCAGUAGUUAAGUCCUUACAUAUUAAAAUCACUCUAAAUGUAAAUGGACUGAAUUCAACCAAAAGGCACAGACUUACUAGACGGAUGAGAAAGAAGGGAGAAACAGACAAUAAUACAAUACUAGUAGGGGACUUCUGUACUCCACUGUCAGCAAUGGGUAGAUCAUCCAGACAGAAAAUUAACAAAACAUUGGAAUUGAACCACACUUUAGACAUAGCAGAUGUAUACAGAAUAUUCCAUCAACAGCAUCAAAAUACAUCAUUUUCAAUUGUGCAUGGAACAUUCUCCGAGUUGAUCAUGAUAGGACAGGAUAUAAAACAAAUCUUAGUAAAUUUAAGAUUUAAAUUACACCAACUAUCUUUUCUGACCACAAUGGUUUGAAGCUAUAAAUCAACAAGAGGAAAGCUGGAAAAUCUGCAAAAUAUGUGGAAAGUAAACAACACCUUUCUGAACAAACAAAUCAAAGAAGAAAUCAAAAGGGAAAUAAACUGUCUCCAAACAAAUGACAAUGGAAACACACACUGAAUCAUAGAGGAUGCUGCAAAAUCAGCUCUGAAGGUUUAUAGAGAUAGUUAACAAAUAUUAAGCAAUUAGAAAGAUUAAAAUAAGCAACCUAAUUUUAUACCUCAAGGAAUUAGAAAAAGAACAAAGUAAGCUCAAAGUUAACAGAUAGAAGGAAAUAAUAAAGACCAGAGCAAAAGUAAAUAAAGACCAGAAGUACAAUAGAAAGGAUCAACAAAACUAAGAGCUGGUUUUUCAGAAAACAAAAUUGACAAACAUUUAGCUAGACUAAAUAAGAAAAACAGAAGACUCAAGUACAUUGAAUUAGAAAUGAAAGAGAAGACAUUACGACUGAUACUGUAACAACACAUAGGAUAAGAGACUGUGACAUAUAGCAUAAGAGACUGAAUGAUUACAUGGCAACAAAUUAGAUAACCUCAAAGAAAUGGAUAAAUUCCUAGAAACACAAAACCUACCAAGACUGAAUCAGGAAGAAACACACAAUUUUAACAGACCAAUAACAAGUACAGAGAUUGAAAGAGUGAUUACAAACCCCCAACACAGAAAACCCCGGAAGAAUGGCUUCACUGAUUAAUUCUACUGAACAUUUAACGAAGAAUUCAUACCAGUUCUUCUCAAACUCUGCCAAAUAAUUGAAGAGAAGGAAGUAAUUCCAAACACAUUCUACCAGGCCAGCAUUAUCCUGAUACCAAAGCCAGAUAAAAACAAUACAGGAAAAGAAAAUACAGACCAAUAUGCCUGAUGAAUAUAGAUGCAAAAAAAAGUUAGUAAACCAAAUUUAAGAGCACAUUAAAAGGAUUAUACACCUGACUAAGUGGGAUUUAUCCCUGGGAUGCAAGGCUGGUUUAACAUAUGCAGAUCAGUAAAUAUAAUACAUCACAUUGGUAGAACGAAAGGUAAAAAUUACAUGAUUGUCACAAUAGAUGAAGAAAAAGCAUUUGACAGAAUACAACAUCCUUUCAUGAUAAAAACCUUUACAAGGUCUGUGGGAUGCAGCAAAACAGUUCUAAGAGGGAAGUUCAUAGCGAUACAGGCCCUUCUCAAGAAACAAGAAAGAUCUCAAAUAAAUUCGGCCUAACCUACCACCUACAAGAAUUAGAAAAAAAAAGAACAAAGUCAGCAGAAGGAAAGAAAAGAUCGGGGGAAA